Triticum aestivum (bread wheat) is the source of this 1507-nucleotide long non-coding RNA. RefSeq lists it as uncharacterized. The record is from RefSeq and is a predicted model, not a curated record. The transcript has 3 exons. Lineage: Eukaryota; Viridiplantae; Streptophyta; Magnoliopsida; Poales; Poaceae.
AACCCACCACAGCUCUCUCCGGCUCUCGUGAUCUCUUGCUCCACCCACCAACCCUAAUUCUGCACCGGCCAAACCCGAAGGAGAUGGAGGCUGGCGGCGCUAGCACGACUAUUACGAGGAAUAGGGAAGUUGCCGCGCUCGAGGGCCAUCUGGCACCGGCGCCGGCGGGAGCGGUGGCCGAUCCCGGAAUGGGCGAGGACGACGGAGGCGGAUCCGGCGAAGAUGGGCAAGAUCUCGACCGCCUCAGCAGCCUCCCCGAUGCGAUCCUCGGCGAGAUAAUCUCCCUCCUCCCCACCAAGCAAGGGGCUCGCACCCGGAUCCUCGUGUCUCGGUGGAGCAACUGAACCUCGACUGCCGUCACCUCGCCCGUACAUGGCACGAACUCCCUUCUCUCAUGCAUCGCAUCAUUAACGCCCACCAAGGCCCCGGCCGCCGCUUCUGCACUACGGAGCUGUUGCACACCAUAAGCGACAUAGAUGCCGUGGAGGCAUGUCUCCUGUCCACCGCUCUGGCUAGGCUCGAGGAGCUUAAGCUUAACAGCUGGAGAGGGGAGCCGCUGCCGGAAUUAGUCUUCCGCUUCUCAGACACCCUCCGUGUUUUCUGCAUUGAAAAGUGCAGCCUCCCGGAUGCCACCGUCCAAAGAUUUCAUUUUCCCCGGCUUCAGCGGCUCGAAAUUGUUCGUAGCAGCACCUCGGAGUGCACACUCCACAGCAUGAUUGCCGGCUGCUCUUCUCUGGAGUGCUUGCUAAUUUCUCGGUGCAGUGGACCUCGUUGCCUCCGGAUCAAUUCACUUGUCCUCAGAAGCGUUACAGUCAGCAAUUACCUUGUCUUGAAAGACUAUUCCAUCUUAAUCAGAAACAGGAUUUGCGUGUGUCAGUGCUCUUCGCGCCUAAGUUGGAGACCUUAGGCUGUACCAACUCCACCAGGCUCGUCUUUGGUUCUACAGAUAUUAAGGGAUCGCGCACAAUCAAGUGUUUGGCCCUCAGUAUGCCCACUCUUAGUUUGGAUAUGGUUAUUGGACUGAUAAGAAGGUUUCCGUGCUUGAAGAAGUUGUACAUUCAGCGCAACACCUCAAGGAAGAACAAUAAUGCAUGGCGUCGUAAAUACCGCGAUCUGCUCAAAAGUCUUGACAUCCGUCUGAAAAUUAUGGUGUUGAAUUAUUAUUCCGGCAGAAAACCUGACGUUGAUUUUGUCACGCCCUCAAUGCUGAACCAAUAGAGUCGAUGACACUUGUGGUCUAGACCGACGAUGAGGACUUCUUGGCAAAACAGCCUCGCAAGCUUCAGCUGGAGAAGAGGGCUUCAAGUGGUGCUCGGUUUCAUUUCACCACGGAACGACGCUACGAAUUUGGAUGCAAAUUAUCUUUUUGAGUGGUAGUUUUGAAAAUACUUCGUGUUUGGUCCAGUGAGAAGUUACCCUAUCCAACCAGCAAACCUUAUUUUAUGUUUCGUCCCAUAAGCUACUGUGUUUGGAGUAUUUUAGUUUGUAUUGACUUUGAACAUGUUCA